ACAGGUCUGAUCCAUAAACAACUUUGAUUAGUCUGAAACUACUCCCUAGGCAACAGCAAUUUCAACAAGGCCAGUCCUGACAAACCCCAAGAUUGAGAUCUUCCAACCACCUUUUGACCAAGACUUGUUUGACUGCAGAUUGCUGAUUCCCUUGUCUGUGUAACCUGGGAACUCAGGAUCUCACUCUGUGGUUCAGGCUGGCCUCAAAUGUGCAAUGAUCCUCCUAUCUCAGCCUUUUGAGUGAAAAUUUUCUUUUCUUAUGGUGAGUAGUACUCCAUAUAUCAGAUUUCUUUCUUUUUUUUUUUUGGUACUGGGCAUCGAACUCAGGCCCUUGCACUUGUGCAGCAGGUGGUGCAACCUCUGAGCUAAAUCCCUGGCCCCUUCAGAUUUCUUAUAUCCAUUCAUCUGUUGAUGGUGUAUAAGUCAUUUCAAAGUUUCAAGUAUUAUGAAUGGUGUUGCUAUCAACAUGAGAAACAUAUGUGUCUCUGUAAGAUAAUGUCUUUAUGUUUCUCAGGAAGUUACCCAGAUGGAUUAUAACUGAGUCAAAUGAAAUUUAUCAUUUUAGUUUUCAGAGUGCUUGUACUAGUUUUCAUUCCAAUCAGCAUUGUACAAGAGUUUUCUUUCCCUUACAACCUUGCCUGUUUUUGUUACUUUUUGAGUUCUUUUUUCUUUUUUUGGUACCGGAGAUUGAACUCAGGGGCUUUCCCUAGUGAGGCAGGAUUUUUUAGAGUUCUUGAUAAUAGCCAUGCCUAGUGGAAUGAGAUGGAACCUAAUGUUGUUUUGAUUUGAAUUUCUCUAAUGGCCAACAAUGUUGAACAUAUUUUAUAUAAUUUAUUGGCCAUUUGUUUUUCUUUGAGAAGUGUGUUUUCAUUAAAAUUGCUCUUUUUAAUUUGGUCUUUCAUUUUGGAGGAGUUGUUGUUGUUCUUUAUUCUAGAUAUUAGAAUAAUAUCUCUGUCCAAUGAAAAGCUGACAAAGAAUUUCCCACUGUGGAGGUUGUCUCUUCAGUCAGUUCUUGUUCUCUGUUCUGUGCAAAAGCUUCUUAAUUUGGUAUAAUCCCAUUUGUUGAUUCUUAAUUUUUUUUGUACCGGGGAUUAAACUCAGGACCUUUCAGUUGUGAGGUAGGCACUGGAACCCCU
RNAcentral lists this long non-coding RNA (1136 nucleotides) under Heterocephalus glaber (naked mole-rat). RNAcentral's name for it is "lncRNA (ENSHGLG00000038409.1)". The record is from RNAcentral. Lineage: Eukaryota; Metazoa; Chordata; Mammalia; Rodentia; Bathyergidae.